This 253-nucleotide ribosomal RNA is filed under the name uncultured bacterium. RNAcentral's name for it is "partial 16S ribosomal RNA". It matches the Rfam family "Bacterial small subunit ribosomal RNA", at positions 524 to 776 of the family's 1533-position model. The record is from RNAcentral.
UACGUAGGGUGCGAGCGUUAAUCGGAAUUACUGGGCGUAAAGCGUGCGCAGGCGGUUCGUUGUGUCGGCGGUGAAAGCCCCGGGCUUAACCUGGGAAUGGCCGUCGAAACUGGCGAACUGGAGUGUGGCAGAGGGGGGUGGAAUUCCGCGUGUAGCAGUGAAAUGCGUAGAUAUGCGGAGGAACACCGAUGGCGAAGGCAAUCCCCUGGACCUGUACUGACGCUCAUGCACGAAAGCGUGGGGAGCAAACAGG